RNAcentral lists this microRNA precursor (100 nucleotides) under Drosophila virilis. RNAcentral's name for it is "microRNA dvi-mir-285 precursor". Its record names the gene dvi-mir-285. The stretch from base 8 to 90 matches the Rfam family "mir-29 microRNA precursor family". From Rfam's summary of the family: This family represents the microRNA (miRNA) precursors mir-29. The record is from miRBase by way of RNAcentral. Lineage: Eukaryota; Metazoa; Arthropoda; Insecta; Diptera; Drosophilidae.
UCAAAUUGAAGAACUGAGAUCGAUUGGUGCAUAGAUAUCGCCCAAAAAGUAAUUCAUUUCAAUUCUAGCACCAUUCGAAAUCAGUGCUUUUUAUUCGAAC